Molecule: ribosomal RNA, 253 nt
Filed under: uncultured bacterium
Lineage: Bacteria
Description: partial 16S ribosomal RNA
Rfam family: Bacterial small subunit ribosomal RNA
Source: RNAcentral
UACGUAGGGUGCGAGCGUUGUCCGGAAUUAUUGGGCGUAAAGGGCUCGUAGGCGGUUUGUCGCGUCGGGAGUGAAAACAUCGGGCUUAACUCGAUGCUUGCUUUCGAUACGGGCAGACUUGAGGUAUGCAGGGGAGAAUGGAAUUCCUGGUGUAGCGGUGAAAUGCGCAGAUAUCAGGAGGAACACCAACGGCGAAGGCAGCUCGCUGGGACGGUACUGACGCUGAGACGCGAAAGCGUGGGGAGCGAACAGG